GACGAACGCUGGCGGCGUGCUUAACACAUGCAAGUCGAACGGAAAGGCCCUGCUUUUGUGGGGUGCUCGAGUGGCGAACGGGUGAGUAACACGUGAGUAACCUGCCCUUGACUUUGGGAUAACUUCAGGAAACUGGGGCUAAUACCGGAUAGGAGCUCCUGCUGCAUGGUGGGGGUUGGAAAGUUUCGGCGGUUGGGGAUGGACGCGCGGCUGAUCAGCUUGUUGGUGGGGUAGUGGCUUACCAAGGCUUUGACGGGUAGCCGGCCUGAGAGGGUGACCGGCCACAUUGGGACUGAGAUACGGCCCAGCCUCCUACGGGAGGCAGCAGUGGGGAAUAUUGCACAAUGGGCGGAAGCCUGAUGCAGCAACGCCGCGUGCGGGAUGACGGCCUUCGGGUUGUAAACCGCUUUCGCCUGUGACGAAGCGUGAGUGACGGUAAUGGGUAAAGAAGCACCGGCUAACUACGUG
This 468-nucleotide ribosomal RNA is filed under the name uncultured bacterium. RNAcentral describes it as "partial 16S ribosomal RNA". It matches the Rfam family "Bacterial small subunit ribosomal RNA", at positions 28 to 507 of the family's 1533-position model. The record is from RNAcentral.